RNAcentral lists this long non-coding RNA (711 nucleotides) under Ficedula albicollis (Collared flycatcher). RNAcentral describes it as "lncRNA (ENSFALG00000024407.1)". The record is from RNAcentral. Lineage: Eukaryota; Metazoa; Chordata; Aves; Passeriformes; Muscicapidae.
AGACAUCCCCUCUGGAUGUGAGCGCAGGCGCUGCUGGCACAUCCCGGCCCAGCAGCUGUCAUCAGGACACCCUGCGUAACAGCCGGAUGGAUGUCUGCUAGAACACUAAGCCUGAUUCUACAUUGGAUUAAGGGAUUGUAUUUAAGAAAAGGACUUCCAAAAAGGAGGGAUGCCACUGUGGUAUGGGUGGAUCAAAUGUAGAGUGAGUUCAGUCCCUGCUCUUUGUGGCUUAAAAUCUCCAUGAACAAGGGGCUGAUACCUGUUGUGCCUCUUUCCUGCCAUGCCCUGGAGUGGGUCAAAUGGGAUGGACAGUGUCUUCUCCAGAUGGAUGAUGACUCCUCAAGAAAGCGAAGCAGCUUAGCCUCAAAUGAAGCUUACAUAAAAAUAAAUAAAUAUCCCCCUACCCCUUGCUAAUAUAAGUGCUUGUGUACUACAGCAAAAACUUCCAGACAGGGUAUUUUGGCCCCAAUUCCAUUCCAUUCCAUUCCAUUCCAUUCCAUUCCAUUCCAUUCCAUUCCAUUCCAUUCCAUUCCAUUCCAUUCCAUUCCAUUCCAUUCCAUUCCAUUCCAUUCCAUUCCAUUCCAUUCCAUUCCAUUCCAUUCCAUUCCAUUCCAUUCCAUUCCAUUCCAUUCCAUUCCAUUCCAUUCCAUUCCAUUCCAUUCCAUUCCAUUCCAUUCCAUUCCAUUCCAUUCCAUUCCAUUCCAUUCCAUU